Molecule: ribosomal RNA, 253 nt
Filed under: uncultured bacterium
Lineage: Bacteria
Description: partial 16S ribosomal RNA
Rfam family: Bacterial small subunit ribosomal RNA
Source: RNAcentral
GACGAAGGAUGCAAGCGUUAUCCGGAUUCAUUGGGUUUAAAGGGAGCGCAGGUGGCCUUAUAAGUCAGUGGUGAAAUCUCUGGGCUUAACCCAGAAAUUGCCAUUGAUACUGUAGGGCUUGAGUAUAGAUGCCGUUGGCGGAAUAUGACAUGUAGUGGUGAAAUACAUAGAGAUGUCAUAGAACACCGAUUGCGAAGGCAGCUAACGAAACUAUAACUGACACUGAGGCUCGAAAGUGUGGGGAUCAAACAGG